GAUGAACGCUGGCGGCGUGCCUAAUACAUGCAAGUCGAGCGAACGGACGAGAAGCUUGCUUCUCUGAUGUUAGCGGCGGACGGGUGAGUAACACGUGGGUAACCUACCUAUAAGACUGGGAUAACUUCGGGAAACCGUAGCUAAUACCGGAUAAUAUUUUGAACCGCAUGGUUCAAAAGUGAAAGACGGUCUUGCUGUCACUUAUAGAUGGAUCCGCGCUGCAUUAGUUAGUUGGUAAGGUAACGGCUUACCAAGGCAACGAUGCAUAGCCGACCUGAGAGGGUGAUCGGCCACACUGGAACUGAGACACGGUCCAGACUCCUACGGGAGGCAGCAGUAGGGAAUCUUCCGCAAUGGGCGAAAGCCUGACGGAGCAACGCCGCGUGAGUGAUGAAGGUCUUCGGAUCGUAAAACUCUGUUAUUAGGGAAGAACAUAUGUGUAAGUAACUGUGCACAUCUUGACGGUACCUAAUCAGAAAGCCACGGCUAACUACGUG
RNAcentral lists this ribosomal RNA (497 nucleotides) under uncultured bacterium. Its description in RNAcentral is "partial 16S ribosomal RNA". It matches the Rfam family "Bacterial small subunit ribosomal RNA", at positions 28 to 507 of the family's 1533-position model. The record is from RNAcentral.